RNAcentral lists this ribosomal RNA (944 nucleotides) under uncultured crenarchaeote. Its description in RNAcentral is "bacterial SSU rRNA". It matches the Rfam family "Archaeal small subunit ribosomal RNA", at positions 1 to 922 of the family's 1478-position model. The record is from RNAcentral. Lineage: Archaea; Thermoproteati; Thermoproteota.
UUUCCGGUUGAUCCCGCCGGACCCUACUGCUAUUGGGGCAAGACUAAAACAUGCAAGUUGAACGUUUCGAACUAUGGCGAAACGUAGCGGACGGCUCAGUAACACGUGGCUAACCUGCCCUUGAGACGAGUAUAAUCCCGGGAAACUGGGGCUAAUACGCGAUAGGUGAAGAUGCCUGGAAUGGUUCAUCAUCUAAAGGACGUUGAGACCAUGUUUCACAGUGUCGCUCAAGGAUGGGGCCGCGGCCGAUCAGGUAGUUGGUGAGGUAACUGCUCACCAAGCCUUUGACCGGUACGGGCCGUGAGAGCGGGAGCCCGGAGAUGGGCACUGAGAUAAGGGCCCAGGCCCUAUGGGGCGCAGCAGUUGCGAAACCUCCGCAAUGCGCGAAAGCGUGACGUGGUUACCCCAAGUGCCAUCCGCUGAGGACGGCUUUUCUUUGGUGUAAUGAGCCAAAGGAAUAAGGGGAGGGCAAGACUGGUGUCAGCCGCCGCGGUAAUACCAGCUCCCCGAGUGGUAGGGACAAUUAUUGGGCUUAAAGCGUCCGUAGCCGGCCUGACAAGUCUUUCGUUAAAUCCAGCGACUUAAUCGUUGGGCUGCGGGAGAUACUAUCAGGCUAGGGGACGGGAGAGGCCGAUGGUAUUCUUGGGGUAGGGGUGAAAUCCUAUAAUCCCAGGAGGACCACCAGUGGCGAAGGCGAUCGGCUAGAACGCGCUCGACGGUGAUGGACGAAAGCUGGGGGAGCGAACCGGAUUAGAUACCCGGGUAGUCCCAGCUGUAAACGAUGCGAGCUAGGUGUUGGGGUGGUUACGAACCGCUUCAGUGCCGUAGGGAAACUGUUAAGCUCGCCGUCUGGGAAGUACGGUCGCAAGGCUGAAACUUAAAGGAAUUGGCGGGGGAGCACUACAAGGCGUGAAGCUUGCGGUUCAAUUGGAGUCAACGCCGGG